GAGUUUGAUCAUGGCUCAGGACGAUCGCUAGCGGCAGGCUUAACACAUGCAAGUCGAGGGGUAACGGGGAAGCUUGCUUCCGCCGACGACCGGCGCACGGGUGCGUAACGCGUAUACAAUCUACCUUGUACUGGGGUAUAGCCUUUAGAAAUGAAGAUUAACCCCCCAUAGUCUCUUAGAGUGGCAUCACUUCUAGAGUAAAGGUUACGGUAUAAGAUGAGUAUGCGUUCUAUUAGUUUGUUGGUGUGGUAACGGCACACCAAGACUACGAUAGAUAGGGGCCCUGAGAGGGGGAUCCCCCACACUGGUACUGAGACACGGACCAGACUCCUACGGGAGGCAGCAGUGAGGAAUAUUGGACAAUGGAGGCAACUCUGAUCCAGCCAUGCCGCGUGCAGGAAGACUGCCCUAUGGGUUGUAAACUGCUUUUAUACAGGAAGAAACACCUCUACGUGUAGAGGCUUGACGGUACUGUAAGAAUAAGGAUCGGCUAACUCCGUGCCAGCAGCCGCGGUAAUACGGAGGAUCCAAGCGUUAUCCGGAAUCAUUGGGUUUAAAGGGUCCGUAGGUGGAUAAUUAAGUCAGAGGUGAAAUCUUGCAGCUCAACUGUAAAAUUGCCUUUGAAACUGGUUAUCUUGAGUUAUUAUGAAGUAGUUAGAAUAUGUAGUGUAGCGGUGAAAUGCAUAGAUAUUACAUAGAAUACCAAUUGCGAAGGCAGAUUACUAAUAAUCAACUGACACUGAUGGACGAAAGCGUGGGUAGCGAACAGGAUUAGAUACCCUGGUAGUCCACGCCGUAAACGAUGGACACUAGCUGUUUGGACUUCGGUCUGAGUGGCUAAGCGAAAGUGAUAAGUAACCCACCUGGGGAGUACGUUCGCAAGAAUGAAACUCAAAGGAAUUGACGGGGGCCCGCACAAGCGGUGGAGCAUGUGGUUUAAUUCGAUGAUACGCGAGGAACCUUACCAGGGCUUAAAUGUAAGUUGCAUUAGUUAGAGAUAGCUAUUUCUUCGGACCACUUACAAGGUGCUGCAUGGUUGUCGUCAGCUCGUGCCGUGAGGUGUCAGGUUAAGUCCUAUAACGAGCGCAACCCCUGUUGUUAGUUGCCAGCGAGUCAUGUCGGGAACUCUAGCAAGACUGCCAGUGCAAACUGUGAGGAAGGUGGGGAUGACGUCAAAUCAUCACGGCCCUUACGUCCUGGGCUACACACGUGCUACAAUGGUAGGUACAGAGAGCAGCCACUGCGCGAGCAGGAGCGAAUCUAUAAAACCUAUCACAGUUCGGAUCGGAGUCUGCAACUCGACUCCGUGAAGCUGGAAUCGCUAGUAAUCGGAUAUCAGCCAUGAUCCGGUGAAUACGUUCCCGGGCCUUGUACACACCGCCCGUCAAGCCAUGGAAGUUGGAAGUGCCUGAAGUCCGUCACCGUAAGGAGCGGCCUAGGGUAAAGUCGAUAACUAGGGCUAAGUCGUAACAAGGUAACC
Molecule: ribosomal RNA, 1480 nt
Filed under: uncultured marine bacterium
Lineage: Bacteria
Description: bacterial SSU rRNA
Rfam family: Bacterial small subunit ribosomal RNA
Source: RNAcentral